CAAUUUUUAUGCCCAUUCAAGCUGUGAGUGUGAAUAUUUCGGCUUGUAUGGUCAUGAAAAAAUAUCAUCACAAAGUCAAUAUUUGUAGGAUUUUUGCAUGGUAAGUAUGAUUUUUAGAUUUGUCAUCAAAUACACAUUCGAUCGUAACUCAAAUCAUGAAGAAUAAACAUUUUCCAUGUGCUUUUCUGUCAUUCUUCGUUUGGUCGUUGAAGGGUUCGGACGUGUUUUUCGAAGCUCUCGACGUCGUGACCUAAUUAUAAUUUGAACUGCGCGGGUAAAGAACGCUCAUUUGCGGCUUGGACAUUGACCAAUACGGACGUGUUUUUAAAGCGCUCUGAAAAAAGUUUUGACUUUUAAAUUUUUUUUACUACGACAGAAUCUUAGUUGACUGAUGGUCUUUGACAAAGACAGACUUGUUUUUGUGAGCUCUGAACAAAAUUUGACUUUGAAAUAUUUUUACGAUUAAAAAGUUUCAGUUGACUUUUGAACGUUGACGAAGACGGACGUACUUUCGUGAGCUCUGACUAUUGAUGAAAAGUUUUCGCGUUAUAGAAUAGCGACUUGGUACUCAGGUUGUUGAAUGACUGGAUGACUGAAGUGUUAGGUUAUUGUUAUGAGAUAACAACUUGACUUUGACUUGAGUUGUGAAAUGAAAUCAUACUCUUAUGCGAUGUUAACUUUUGAACGUUUAGUAUUGACUGACAACGAAAUUUUGUGAGCGUUAUAUAUGAAAUGUUUGACUUACAUUAAUUUUUUUGAACGACUUGACUUCACUUUAAGUUUUGACAUCGGACUGAUCGGACGUGUUUUUUUAAGCUCUGACUGUUGUGAAUAAUUAAAUUUAUGUUGUGGUGUCAAGCGAUUGACUGUCAGUUGAGGUUCAGAUGUCGAGCUGUGCGGACGUGUUCAUCGAGCUGCUGUCUACAAAAAACGUGAGUACAAAUUUUUUUCGUUUUACUGUUUACAAGUUGCGUGAUGAUGUAUGAUGGUUGUAAUGUGUUGGGUAGAAAUUACUCAGUGCUGAUACAGUGUCGAUAUGUUGUGAUGAGCGAUAAUAGUGGAUGAUGGUGGAACAGAAUAUUCAUUGAGCUAUUUUGAGGAAGCGAACAUAUGAUGGAAAAAUGUUGCAAAAAUAUUAAAUGCAUGUGCUUAUAUGUACUAAAUAUGAUAUUGCUUUACUUGUAUUUGCAUGCUGUUAACAUUUCUAUUUUAUUCCAGUGGGCUGUGGUGAGUAUUGCAGAUUUAACUUGUAUGUGUGGUUUUUAGUUAACGAUGCUUAAUGAAAACUGUUAUUGUACACUUAGUAUGGAAUGAUGUGAAUGAUGAUAUGAUGGGUAGAAUUAAUCAGUGCUUGUGUCUAGAAAUGCUGAAUGUUUAUUGAAAAGGCUAAAUGCUAGCCAGUACUAAGAGUUGAGCUACCGUGGGAAUGUGAAACGAACUGAUGGUGUAAUAUGAUGGUGUAUUGACAUACUUUUCUUAUAUGUACUAAAUAUGAUAUUGCUUUACUUGUAUUUGCAUGCUGUUAACAUUUCUAUUUUGUUCCAGUGUGCUGUGGUGAGUACUGUAGAUAUUACUUGAUUUUUAGUGUCUAUGAAUGCUGAUGUAUGAUAGCUAUAGCAUGAGCUCAAUGCUAACCAGUAUUAUGAGUUGAUGUAUUGUGGUGAUGCUAAUCGAACUGAUGAUGUAACAUGAUGGUGAACACUUACUGAAUGCAUAAAAUUUAUUGAAUUGCAUUUGUUGAUAUGCACUAUAAUAUGAUAAAUGUAUUGCUUUACAUGUAUAUUUCAUGAUGUUUAAUUUCAGUGGGCUGUGGUGAGUACUGUAGAUUGUAUUGCCUAUGUAUAGAAUUCAAUAAAAGAUUAUGACUGAAAACUGCUUUUGAUUCUUUUUGAACAGUUUUAGGGACUAUAAGUCUAUAACAAAAAUAUGUCGGUUGGCGUUCAUACAGCAAUGUUUUGAGUAGUACAGAAAUGUUUCUACGUUUGUGGUCGCCAGUUGUCUGUGAUGUGUAAAGUGAAAAAUACACGGAGCUUUGAAUACAACAAACAGUUACUGUUUUAACACAGAUUGUGUGCUAUGCAUUUUUCGAUGUAGAUCUUUUUCAGAUUUGACAUGAAAUGUAGACCUGACAUUUGAACAGAGCUGGGAAACGAAAAGGUAAGUUUGUUAAAUUUCACAAUGAACACUUGUGUUUUGACAAAAGAAGAGAUAAAGUGAGUUUUGUCAUCAUCAUGGUUUCUUUCAGAGUAUAACUCGUGAACAGAUGAAAACCUAUUUUUUGCUAGAUUUUCAUGUACUCUUUUUUUGGAUGAUAAGUAUGUCAGUAACUCAAAAUCAUACGGCUAGUACAGUAUGGAACAUGAAUGCUUUGUUCAGAUUUUCAGAUGUGUGCUGGCAGUUCAAGUCUGGCAGCUGAAGUGAACAGUCGUGUUUUCUGGAGCUCCAACAAUAUGCUAGAAGGUAAGUAACUAUGUUUGUUUUGCAUUGCAUGUUUUUAUAUGUUUCAGACUUUCAAGCAGAGAUGUCAUGCUGACUGGAGUUGAGCACAGGGCAGUGACAAAGUGAAAGGUAAGUACUUUUGACUGAAUGUUUGUUCUAUGCAUGUUUUGUUUUAAUACAUUUCAGGAGUGCUUAUCCAGUGAUGAUAUGACAGUUGGAGUGAACAGUGGAGCCAAGCAGUCUUGUUUUUAGAGCUACUCAACAAGCCUUGAAGAUGCUGAUGGCAGUGAUGGGUUUUCAAGCUGACCUGAACAGAAAAGCACUCAUAUGAUUUCACAUGCAGAAAUUAAACAGGAUUUCAACUGCUGAGACACAAUUCAUCAAAAGUAAGGUAAGUUUUAAUUCAUUGAUUUGAGUUGUACAAUGUGUUCUUUACUUUAUUUCAGAUUCGAGUCACUGGUUUACACAUGGAAGAAGAUUUCCACGUCUGUUACUCAACUCUACAGAAGCAAGGUAAGUCGAUCAAAUUUUUGUUUUCAUUGACUGCUGUAAUGUGAUGUUAUGCUAUUUUUCAUGUGUGCUAUGCAGAGAUGGAGAAUUCAAUUUUAAGAAAGAUUAACUGCUGCAGCUUAGCUCUGCUCUGUGUUGAUUUUUGUUCAAAAACGUUUAAAAUGUAUGUGUGUUUUCAGAUGUUUUGUUUCAGUUGAUGUCCAGAUGGCAAGCAGUACAGACGUGUUUCUUGGAGCUGCCAAACAUUGGCUGUGGUGAGUAUUGUAGUAUACAUUUGUUUCAAUAAAUCAUGAUGAAUGAAAACUGAUUUCGAUUCUUUUUACAGUUUUAGGGAUUAUCACUCUAUAACAACUCUGUCGGUUGGUAUUCAUGAGUGUGAGCUUAAUACAGCAAUGUUUGAGUAAUACAAAAAAUGUAUGUACUCUUUUGUGGUCGCCAGUUGUCUGUGAUAUGUAUAGUAAAAAAAACACAACACAAAGCUAUGAAGCAUACAAUUGUUUCAAGGUUUUAUCAAUAAUUGUGUACUGUGCAUGUUUUGAUUUAGUUCGUUUCAGAUAUGACAUGACCUGAAUAUUUGACAGUCGAACAGAGCUGAGCAUUGCAGAAAGGUAAGUGUUUUGUUUGAUAUUUACCAUGCAUACUUUGCUUUGCUCUGUUUCAGAUUCACAUGCAGAAAAGGUCUCAUAGUAGCCUCAACUGUGAAUAAGGAUAUCAACUGCUGUGACUAAACUGUUGAAGAAGGGUAAGUGGAACAAUGUGUUUGUUUUAUAAGUACCAUGUAUGCUUUAUUUUGCUCUGUUUCAGAGUAGACAUACAAACAGUGUCUUGCUUUGCAUGCUAUUUUUCAGGUCUCUCAUGCAGUGAGGGAAAAGAAAAAGAUUUCAAUAAAGAAUCACUGCUGCAACUCAGCUCUUUAAACAAGGUAAGUGUUUACUAUGUUGUAUACAAAAUGUUUCUCUUUCUUACUAUGUUUCAGGUUAACAUUGCAGAGAUGUUUUGACAGCUUGUGACAGAAAAGAAAUUCAGCAGCUGUGUCUUGACUGUAGCCACAAGGUAAGUCGAAACAAAUAUACUGGUUUGUAUGUUGUGUUGUUAUGCCCUUCUAUGUUUCAGACUUACAUUGCUGUGACUGUUCCACAGUGGGUCAAAAAAGAGACGAAUACAGGUUUCAAGAAGAAAAUUGGCUGUUAAAACUCUGCACAAAAUAUGAGGUAAGUGAACUACUCUUUUGGUUUGUGUUGUGCUUUGUUCUGCUUAACUAUUUUUCAGAUUUGAGUGGUGGGUCGUUACAGAGCAGACUUUUUGACAAGUGAGAAAUUGAGAAACAGAGAAUGAUUCAAGAUCAGCUAGGUAAGUCUUGAUUAUUAUGCAUUGCUAAAUGUUGUUUUCAUUCCAGUAUGGCUGUGGUAAGUACACAAACUUUCUAUAAUUUAAUAUUGAACUGUUUUUAUGACCUGUAUUCUGCAUUGUAAAAUGUCUGUUUUUCAUUUCAGUAUCCUGUGGUAAGUACAAUUGCCUUCUUUAAUUUUCAUAUUGAACUGUUUUGAUGACUUGUAUACUACUAUGCAAUGCUUAAUGUUUUUUUCAUUUCAGUAGCCUGUUGGUAAGUACACUAACUUUCUAUAAUUUCAUAGUGAAUUGUUUUGAUGACCUGUAUUCUGCAUUGUAAAAUGUGUUUCUUUUUCAUUUCAGUAUGGCUGUGGUAAGUACAAUUGCCUUUCAUAUUGAACUGUUUUGAUGACCUGUAUUUUGCAUUGUAAAAUGUGUUUCUUUUUCAUUUCAGUAUGGCUGUGGUAAGUACACAAACUUUCUUUAAUUUUCAUAUUGAACUGUUUUGAUGACUUGUAUUCUGCUAUACAAAAUGUGCUUUUUUCAAUUUCAGGUCAGCAAUGGUAAGUAUAGUGUGUUUUUUUAUGUAUAAUUUUGUAUACAUAUUGUUUUUUUCAUCAUAGCAUGUCUUUUAUAUUUAUGCUUUGUGUAAGUAAAAUGUUCAUUAAAUCAUUCUUAUCUUCAAACUAAAAAUGUAUUGUGCUAUGCAAAAUGUCUGUAUGAUUUCAGUUGCCAGAGGUGAGUACCAUUACAGUUGAAAAGUUAGUUUUGUUUAGUUAAAGUUUUGGUUCACAGUUCUGUUUGUUAUUUGGCAAAAUUUACAUGUAUGCAUUGAGUCUUGAUUUCAGCUCGAUUGUGGACUGAAGAAGAUUGCCCGCAGAGGGAUUGGAUACAAAAUACAAACUUUACUGCUAGACGAGUGUUCUCUACUACUUGACGAGUCAGCUUUACUACCAGGCGAGCAGUGACAACAAGGCGCCUUUGUGGAAACAACACAACAAAAAACUGUACUGCUAGACGAGCAGUGACAGAAAGGCGCCUGAACAUGCAACACAAAACAAAAAAUGCCAAUAUACAAACCUUGAUGUGGACACCGAGUAGUCAAUACAUACGUGUGGCGUACAGCUGCGACAAAACCGUGGGUCCAUCGCACCGAUAACUCGAACAUUGGCCCGCGUAUGGACAUCAGUGCAACUUUGUGAAUCCAUGUAACUUUGUGAAUCAAUGUAACAUUGCGAAUAUGUGUCGAUCGAAAAAUGUGUACAUUCUGCACUGAAACGAACUCGGUGUUGCAAGUGGCAAGUGUUGACAGUGUGUAUGUUUAUGUUUAUGUUUUUACAUGAAAACUAAAGGAGAUUGUUCUCCUACCUUUUUUUUCCUUGUUUUAUUGUGCUGGCCAGCAAUAUUGAUGUAUUGAUGUAUGUGUUUGUGUAUUAACAAUGUAUUAACUAUGCAAUACCAAAAUCAAACAAAAAAUAAACAUUAACAGUCAUUAACUGUGUUUGGGCGGCCGAGGGGUUUAAGACUCCACAAGUGUGAAGCGCACUGAUAGCACUUGGGGGUGAACACCUCGGUAUUUCGGUGCUAAAAUGUUUUCACGGUGCUUAUCUUGACGCACUGUUAAGACUACCAACCAGUUAAUGAUUGCUUCAUCUUUAAACAAAAAGUAAGUCUCUACUUUGGCACAAGAGACUCCAAGUACCAAAUACCAACAAUUAAAAAGCAGACGUUUUUCAAAACUAUGAUCGCUGAGAUUGAUAGUCAGAUGGAGUCCUGCCCAGUUAGCUGUGUAGCGGUCUAGGGCGGGGUUGCAAGUCAAUACGAAAUGAGGCGCUAUAAAGCAACUCGUCCCCGUUAUGACCGUCAAUACUUUCGACACUAUCUGGGAAUCCUUUCAACACCACAUUGUUGCGCUGUUGGAAGGGUGGUAGGCACGCAUGGUGACAUGCCUGUGCUUUGCUAUGCGACACCAUGGUAUUUUCGUACGGUGACACGAAAUAUCUUAAUCUGGCUCUCUCAGAAACGCAGGCACGCGUUGACCGAACCUGACCGAUGACCGAGCAAUAACAUUUCUAUUAAGUGCUUCAAUGCACAAAGUCUGCUAGGCUGGGUGGGAA
Molecule: long non-coding RNA, 6395 nt
Organism: Dreissena polymorpha
Lineage: Eukaryota; Metazoa; Mollusca; Bivalvia; Myida; Dreissenidae
Exons: 7
Source: RefSeq, a predicted model, not a curated record